CCUACGGGAGGCAGCAGUGAGGAAUAUUGGUCAAUGGACGCAAGGCUGAACCAGCCAUGCCGCGUGCAGGAUGACUGCUCUAUGAGUUGUAAACUGCUUUUGUACGAGGGUAAACCCCGAUACGUGUAUCGGGUUGAAAGUAUCUUACGCAUAAGGAUCGGCUAACUCCGUGCCCGCAGCCGCGGUAAUACGGAGGAUCCGCGCGUUAUCCGGAUUUAUUGGGGUUAAAGGGUGCGUAGGCGGUUUGAUAAGUUAGAGGGGAAAUGUCGGGGCUCAACCCCGAAACUGCCUCUAAUACUGUUGGACUAGAGAAUAGUUGCGGUAGGCGGAAGGUAUGGUGUAGCGGUGAAAUGCUUAGAGAUCAUACAGAACACCGAUUGCGAAGGCAGCUUACCAAACUAUAUCUGACGUUGAGGCACGAAAGCGUGGGUAGCAAACAGGAUUAGAUACCCGUGUAGUC
RNAcentral lists this ribosomal RNA (460 nucleotides) under uncultured bacterium. RNAcentral describes it as "partial 16S ribosomal RNA". It matches the Rfam family "Bacterial small subunit ribosomal RNA", at positions 338 to 795 of the family's 1533-position model. The record is from RNAcentral.